GCCGAAAGGUGAAAGGUUAACUGCCUGGAGAUGAGCUCGCGUCUGAUUAGCUAGUUGGUAGGGUAAAAGCUUACCAAGGCGACGAUCAGUAGCUGGUCUGAGAGGACGAUCAGCCACACUGGGACUGAGACACGGCCCAGACUCCUACGGGAGGCAGCAGUGGGGAAUUUUCCGCAAUGGGCGAAAGCCUGACGGAGCAAUACCGCGUGAGGGAGGAAGGCUCUUGGGUUGUAAACCUCUUUUCUCAAGGAAGAAUAAUGACGGUACUUGAGGAAUAAGCAUCGGCUAACUCCGUGCCAGCAGCCGCGGUAAUACGGAGGAUGCAAGCGUUAUCCGGAAUGAUUGGGCGUAAAGCGUUCGCAGGUGGCAUUGAAAGUCUGCUGUCAAAGAGUCUGGCUCAACCAGAUACAGGCAGUGGAAACUUCAAAGCUAGAGUGCGGUAGGGGCAGAGGGAAUUCCUGGUGUAGCGGUGAAAUGCGUAGAGUUCAGGAAGAACACCGGUGGCGAAAGCGCUCUGCUAGGCCGCAACUGACACUGAGGGACGAAAGC
This 549-nucleotide ribosomal RNA is filed under the name Rhizonema sp. 'cyanobiont of Parmeliella parvula'. Its description in RNAcentral is "SSU rRNA". It matches the Rfam family "Bacterial small subunit ribosomal RNA", at positions 192 to 760 of the family's 1533-position model. Lineage: Bacteria; Bacillati; Cyanobacteriota; Cyanophyceae; Nostocales; Rhizonemataceae. The record is from RNAcentral.